ACAAUCUGGAGUUCCAGGCACAGCUUUGGGAAGCUUAGGAGAUCCUUCUGGAAGGGAGAAUUAUGCCAAUAUGGAGUGCACGAAGGGGAAAAAGUAUAAGGAUAGACAAGGUUGAGUUUACUGUCUCUGCCCUCUUCAUCAGUAGUAUUUGCAUGCAUGCUUAAAUGUCAACAGGACUUUAAUUUUGGCCAAUUUAGAACAAUGCUUCAAUAAUGCAAUUCACUCAAACACAGGGAAGCAGCUCUCCAUUUUCAUCUCCAUCCUCUCUGAUCCACCCACCAUUCCCUACUUCCCAGUCACUCAUUCUUUUGAUGAGCUAUGAAGAACUGAUGGCUUCCAGGAGGUUGGAGGAGAGUCGGUUUUCUCUAAGGGCGAAACCGAUGCUUAAUUCCUCACCGGAUGUGGGCACGUGAGACAAAGGGUUCUGACUUCUGUGAGGACAGGGGAGGUCUGGCUAAGUACAAGGAGACAAGGAUGGAUCAAUUUGCAUUCUUCUGCAUGCUGACCUCCAGUUGAACCAGCACCAUUUCUUGAAAAGGUUAUCUUUUUUCCACUGGAUGUUUGCAGCCCCUUUGUCGAGGAUCAAGUGGCCAUAGGUGUGUGGGUUCAUUUCUGGAUCUUCAAUCCUGUUCCAUUGAUUCACCUGACUGUCACUGUACCAAUACCAUGCAGUUUUUUACACUAUUACUCAGUAGUAUUGCUUGAGGUCAGGGAUACUGAUUCCCCCAGAAUUUCUUUUGUUGUGGAGAAUAGUUUUAGCUAUCCUGGGUUUUUUGUUAUUCCAGAUGAAUUUGAGAAUUGCACUUUCUAACUCUAUGAAGAAUUGAGUUGGGAUUUUGAUGGGUAUUGCGUUGAAUCUGUAUAUUGCUUUUGGCAAAAUGGCCAUUUUAGCUAUAUUAAUCCUGCUGAUCCAUGAGAAUGGGAGGUUUUUCCAUUUUUUGAGGUCUUCUUCCUUCUUCAUAGUCUUGAAAUUUUUGUCAUAAAGAUCUUUCACAUGUUUGGUAAGAGUCACCCCAAGGUACUUUAUACUGUUUGUGGCUAUUGUGAAGGGUGUCAUUUCCCUAAUUUCUUUUUCAGCCUAUCCUUUGAGUAUAGGAAGGCUACUGAUUUUCUUGAGUUGAUUUUAUAACCUGCCACUUUGCUGAAGUUGUUUAUCAGCUGUAGGAGUUCUCUAGUGCAGUUUUUGGGUCACUAACAUGUCAUCUGCAAAUAAUGAUAGUUUGACUUCUUCCUUUCCAAUUUGUAUCCCUUUGACUUCCUUAUGUUGUUCAAUUGCCCAAGCUAGUACCUCAAGUACAAAUGAAUCAAGGACCUCCACAUAAAGCCAGACACUCUGAAGCUAAUAGAAAAGAAACUGGGGAAGACCCUUGAGGACAUGGGUACAGGGGGAAAGUUCCUGAACAGAACACCAAUAGCUUAUGCUCUAAGAUCAAGAAUUGACAAAUAGGAUCUCAUAAAAUUACAAAGUUUCUGUAAAGCAAAGGAUACCAUCAAAAGGACAAAUCGGCAACCAACAAAUUGGGAAAAGAUCUUCACCAACCCUACAUUAAAUAGAGGGCUAAUAUCCAAUAUAUACAAAGAACCCAAGAAGUUAGACCACAGAAAACCAAAUAACCCUAUUAAAAAAUGGGUUACAGAGUUAAACAAAGAAUUCUCACCUGAAGAACUUCAGAUGGUGGAGAAACAUCUUUAAAAAUGCACAACUUCCUUAGUCAUCAGGGAAAUGCAAAUCAAAACAACCCUGAGAUUUUACCUUACACCAGUCAGAAUGGCUAAGAUUAAAAACUCAGGAGAUAGCAGGUGUUGACAAGGAUGUGGAGAUAGAGGAACACUCCUCCAUUGCUGGUGGGGUUACAAAUUUGUACAACCACUCUGGAAAUCAGUCUGGUGGUUCCUCAGAAAACUGGGUACCUCACUUCCAAAAAAAUCCUGCUAUACCACUCCUGGGCAUAUACCCAGAGGAUUCCCCUGCAUGUAAUAAGGAUAUAGGCUCCACUAUGUUCAUAGCAGCCCUAUUUAUAAUAGCCAGAAGCUGGAAAGAACGCAAGUAUCCCUCAACAGA
Molecule: long non-coding RNA, 2062 nt
Organism: Apodemus sylvaticus (European woodmouse)
Lineage: Eukaryota; Metazoa; Chordata; Mammalia; Rodentia; Muridae
Exons: 4
Source: RefSeq, a predicted model, not a curated record